AAAAAUCUGGUGUAAUUCUGAUAGGCUUGCCUUUGUAUGUUACUUGACCUUUUUCCCUUACCGCUUUUAGUAUUCUAUCUUUAUUUAGUGCAUUUGUUGUUCUGAUUAUUAUGUGUCGGGAGGAAUUUCUUUUCUAGUCCAGUCUAUUUGGAGUUCUGUAGGCUUCUUGUAUGUUCAUAGGUAUCUCUUUCUUUAUAUUUGGGAAGUGUUCUUCAAUAAUUUUGUUGAAGAUGUUUGCUGGUCCUUUGAGUUGAAAAUCUUCAUUCUUAUCCACUCCUAUUAUCCGUAGGUUUGGUCUUCUCAUUGUGUCCUGGAUUUCCUGGAUAUUUUGAGUUAGGAUCUUUUUGCAUUUUCCAUUUUCUUUGAUUGUUGUGCCGAUGUUCUCUGUGGAAUCUUCUGCACCUGAGAUUCUCUCUUCCAUCUCUUGUAUUCUGUUGCUGAUGCUCAAAUCUAUGGUUCCAGAUUUCUUUCUUAGGGUUUCUAUCUCCAGUGUUGCCUCACUUUGAGUUUUUUUAUUGUUUCUACUUCCCUUUUUAGGUCUAGUAUGGUUUUGUUCAUUUCCAUCACCUGUUUGUAUGUUUUUUCCUCUCUUUCUGUAAGGACUUCUACCUGUUUGAUUGUGUUUUCCUGUUUUUCUUUAAGGACUUGUAACUCUUUAGCAGUGUUCUCCUGUAUUUCUUUAAGUGAUUUAUUAAAGUCCUUCUUGAUGUCCUCUACCAUCAUCAUGAGAUAUGCUUUUAAAUCUAGGUCUAGGUUUUCGGGUGUGUUGGGGUGCCCUGGACUGGGUGAAGUGGGAGUGCUGGGUUCUGAUGAUGGUGAGUGGUCUUGGUUCCUGUUAGUAGGAUUCCUACGUUUACCUUUCGCCAUCUGGUAAUCUCUGGAGUUAGUAGUUAUAGUUGACUCUGUUUAGAGAUUGUUCUUCUGGUGAUUCUGUUACCGUCUCUCAGCAGACCUGGGAGACAGAUUCUCUCCUCUGAGUUUCAGUGCUCAGAGCACUCUCUGCUGGCAAGCUCUCUUACAGGGAAGGUGCGCAGAUAUCUUGUUUUUGGACCUCCUCCUGGUCGAAGAAGAAGGCCCAAAAUAGGGCCUCUCUCAGAAGCUGUGUUGCUUUGGCAGUUCCCAGAAGCUGUCAGCUUCUGUGGUGCAGACUCUCUCCUGUGCAGACUAAAUUCCUAAGUUCCAGGGAGUCCUGGAACCAAGAUGGUGACCGCUGCUCCUGAGGCUGAGGCCGCCUCCCGAGCCAGGGGGACACCUGUCCUCUGGUCCGGAAGGUGGCUGGCUGUCUGCGGCCCGCCAAGGGUACUGCCUCAGCGGCUCUGUGCUUCUGCCCGUCCCAGAAGCUGUCUGGUUCUCUGGCGCCGCAAUUGUAUAAUUAAAAGAUGAAAUAAAAUUUUAUAAUUGGACCCUGAAUCUUGACCUUGGCAAUGUGUACCAAGUAUUUCUUCCUUUUUCAAGAAAUCAACAGUCCUCUUUGAAUGGGAAUAAAAUAGUGGCAGUUGCAUAGUGGUUAAGUUUGCAGAAGGGGAAGUUGUUCUUAUGCCUGUAAUUUAAUUUCAUUGAGGUUAAUCCAGCACCUCUUUCCCUUCAUAUUAAAUACAGCAGUCUCCUCUCCAGCAGAACACCUGGGGCAGCUUUCUCUGUUCCUGUGCGCCCAUCAUCUCCCAUGAAUAUCACAGAUCUGCCUUUUCUAACCUUCUUCUCCCUACUCAUUAUUUGUCCCAGCUUCCAAAUACAGCAAGCAGUUCUCGCUAACCUACAGAUCACUCCUGCCAAGAACACAAAUAAGCUGUCUGUAGAUUUUUUUUGUCUCCUUCUAUGCCGUAGAUCCAAAUUCCUGUUUCAUCCCUGUUGCUAUAGCAAACCCUCUGUGGUGACCUCUGUUCUCUGUAUUUUCCCCAUUCCAUGGAGACAAAAUAAGAAUAUCCUUGUUGAAUACUCUUUUCUCCUCCCUCCUGUGAAUCCCUUCAGACAUGUAGCCUAUUCCCAUGCCUAAGUGUCCGCUCCCAAUACUCAGAAAAAACAUUUACUUGGAGCCUUGAAGUGGCCAGAAUUAACAGAAUAAAAGAAAAUGCCUACUAGACAAUACACAGGCAUCACACUCACCAAUAAUCAAGGAAAAAACAACCAUCCAAUGAAGACAAAUCCAGAGGUUGGCACCUAGUUCUAUUAUCAACUCUAUCCAAGAUACCUAGGAACCAACAUAAAACAUAAUCAAUAACAUUCAGAGAAAUCUAUCUUCACUAAAAUGCAACUAUUAUGCAAUAUCAGGUCCUGAAUAUUUCAACAUAACUGAAAGACAAGGAAAUGACUUUAAACCCACCUAUGUGAAGAGAUAGUCUUCUUCAAAGAGGAAAUUGAUAAAUUCCUUAAAUAAAUUUAGGAAAACACAAGUAUUCAGUGUAAAGAUAGGAAUAAAAGAGUUUAAGGCCUUACAAUGGAAAAAGAAGCAGUAAAGAACACACAAACUGAGGGAAAAUGAAUAUAAUACAGAAAAAUGGAAGAAUGAAUCUCAAAUAUUGAAGAUACAAUAGAAGUAACGGAUAUAUUGGUAAAAGAAAUGUUUUUUUGAGCUUUUAAUUAAUUUUUAUUUUUUAUUGAAGAUGUUUUUUUAUUUUUUGAAUUUAAAUUAUUCUAUUUAUUUGAUUCUAGUCCCUGCCCCAAGCCCACCCCUCACAGUUCCUCAUCACAUUCUUCCUUCCCCUUACAUCCGAGAGAGUACUUUCCUUUCACCAGGCUCCCCUUCCCUAAGGCCUUAAUGCUCUUGAGGAUUAAGCACAUCUUCCACUGAAGCCAAACCAGGUAUACCUCUGCUAAGUAUGUGGUAAGGGCUUCUGACCAGUUUGACUAUGCUCAUGGAUGGUGGCUCAGUUUCUGAGAGCUCCCUGGGCUCUGAGUUAAGUGAGACUGCUGGUCUUCCUAUGGGGUAGCCCUCCCUUUCAGCUUCCUCAAAUCUUCCCCUCAUUCCACCAUAGGCGGCUACAACUUCACUCCAAUGGUUGGGUAUAAAUAUCUGUUUCUGUAUCAAUCAGCUGCCGGUAGGGGCACUCUGAGGACAGUAAUGCCAGGCUACCAUCUGUAAACACAUCAUAGCAUAGUGAUGUCAAGACUUGGUUCCCCCCACCUAUCAUGAGAUAGUUCCCAGAUUGGGCUGGUCAUGGGGCCUCCUUUCCUUCAGUUUCUUCUCCAUUUUUGUCCCUACAUUUCUUUUAGACAGGAUCAAUCAAGUUCAAGAGCAUCAAGGAUCUUAAGAUACAAUGACUCUACUAACAGAGAAAGUGACAUCAAAGGCUCCGAAUCUAAGAUCAAAAAUUGAUAAAUGGGACCUCAUGAAACUGAAAAGCUUCUGUAAGGCAAAAGGCAUAGUCAAAAGGACAAAUUGGCAACCUACAGAAUGGGGAAAAAACUUCACUAACCCUACAUUCGACAGAGGACUAAUGUCCAAAAUAUAUAAAGAACUCAAGAAGUCAACCUCCCAAAACCCAAAUAACACAAUUAAUAAAUGGGGAACAGAGCUAAGGAGAAAACUCACAACUGAGGAAUCUCAAAUGGCUGAGAAGCACCUAAAGAAAUGGUCAAAUCCCUAGUGUUCAGAGAAAUGCAAAUCAAAAUAACCCUGAGAUUCCACUUUACACCAAUCAGAAUGGCUAAGAUCAAAAUCUCAGGUGACAACACAUGUUGGAGAGGAUGUGAAGAAAGAGGAACACUCCUCCAUUGCUUGUGGGAUUGCAAACUGGUACAACCGCUCUGGAAAUCAAUAUGGCAGUUCCUCAGAAAAUUUGAAAUAGUUCUACCUGAAGACUCAACUAUUCCACUCUUGAGCAUAUACCCAAAAGAUGUCCUACCAAACCAGGAGGAUACACAUUCCACCAUGUUCAAAGCAGCCUUAUUUGUAGUAGCAGGAACUUGAAACAACCCAUAUGCCCCACAUGGAAGAAUGGGUACAGAAAGUGUAGUUCAUUUACACAAUAGAAUACUAUUCAGCUAAUUAAAAAUGAAGAUAUCAUGAAUUUUAUAGGCAAGUGGAUGGAACUGGAAAAUAUCAUCCUGAAUGUGGUAACUCAGGCCCAAAAGUACAUGCAUAUACUGUGAUACGUGGAUAUUAGCCAAAAAGUACACCAUACCUUGAAUAUAGCCUCAGACCAUAAGAAUUAUAACAAUCAGAAAUGUCCAAGUAAGGAGGUUUCAACUCCACAUAAAAGGGGUAAAAAAAAUAAUCACAGGAGGCUAAUGGAGGGAGAGACCUGGGUGAGAAAGGGGAUGGAGAGGGAACAGAAGAAAGCCCAGAUGGCCAGGAGAAUAAAUGGAAAUAAGUAGCCUAGGGGAGUGGGUGGUGAAGAACCCUUUAGAGAGAACUAGAGAUCUGGGAGGUAAGACACUAUCAGGACUCAUUGUUGAUGACCUUAGCCAUAACGCCCAACACUGGGCAAAGGGAACUUGAAGAGUCCACCUCCAGUAAAUAGACAGGACCUCACGUGGAGGGAAAAGAUUACUAAAAUACAGUCAAAAUUCAGAGAAAUAUUUUUUUAAUUCUGAGAAAAAACAUACAGCAUGUUUGAGACAUCAUAGAAAGACAAAACUUAAGAAUUUUAAGAAUCAGGUGUUUAGAUCUGGGCUUGCUAUUUGGUCUAGAGAUUUGCAAGGCCCAAAGAGUGUCCAGACUCUCUGAGAAAACUUGGACGCCCCAAAAGUAACCAACUUAAAACCUUAGCUGAUGACACAUCCUAGUUGUAUCUCUCUGCCAUCCCAGUUGGUCACCUAGGUCUUCAUGGAGAGGUGAGUAGCAAGUGUUCCCUCCAAUCUUCAAUGUCUAUCUCUGGGCUUGAUCUUUGGUCCACAGGAGCCUAAUGUUGCUCCAAGAGCAUCCUUAUUCCCUGUUGAAAUCUUCAGGGGCCCCAAAAUUAACCAGCUUGGAACCCUGCUACAAUAAUCCAAUCUCAGUUAGAUCUGACUGGAUACCUGUUGAGUUAAACUAUGACACAUUCUGCAUAGUGGGGACUGUCUGAGGCAUAGUCAACAGAAUUGGAUACUUUGAAUUCCAUUUUCUGAUAAUGGCUUCCACCUCUUUUCCAAGAAGUCCUGCUGUCAUCAAGAUCACCCAACCAACAUCAGGGAAAGUAAAUGCUAAAAGAACAGCAUAAGAACACAAUCAACAAGACCCAGGGCAAUAUGACAUCAACAGAGCCCAGCUGUCCUGCUACAACAAACCCUGGAUAUCCUAAUGAAACUGAAGC
RNAcentral lists this long non-coding RNA (5231 nucleotides) under Mus musculus (house mouse). RNAcentral describes it as "long non-coding RNA chr2:55322879-55328110". Lineage: Eukaryota; Metazoa; Chordata; Mammalia; Rodentia; Muridae. The record is from RNAcentral.